UUUACUUUCAGCAAGAUUAAAAAACAAAAAAAAUCUCGUUCUCUUCUCUGAUGAUUAGGGUUCAACCACUUCAGUUUCUAAUAACGGAUGAAGUCUCAAAUCAAUAAUCUCUCCGAGAUUAAGGUCGAACGAUUUGCUGAUUUCAGAGAUCUCAAAUCCCAAAUCAAGCCCUAAUCUCAAAUCUCAAAAAAUUUCAUUCCUCGGAGUUUGAAUCAAUUGCCGAAGCUUGAUUUUGAAUCAAUUGCUGAAAUUUUUGGAUUCGCUGUUAAAUCUUGCAUAUCUUAACUAUCUCAAGGAUAAAUACAUGAUAAUAAUGGGAUAUUGGGUUUGGAAGGUAAUGUUUUGAAGAUGAAGAGAUGAUUGCAGACAUGGGUUUUGUUUGAUUCAUGGCCUACAUGAAGUUGGAAGAUGUUGAUGGCUGGUAUAGAGAUUCUUACAGCAAGGAAGUCCUACUAAGAGCAGUGGUGUAGUUAGACCUCAGUUUGAAUCUAACCUUAUUCCUUAAGUCAUGAUUGAAACUCCCUGAAGAACAACGUGACCCUGAUGAUUAUAAAGCAAGAUGCAGGAGAUAUGUGGGAAUGGUAAAAGAGCUUCUACAAACUCUGCAGUAUAGGAAGAGACCCGUAUGGAUAGGGACGCAAUCGCGGAGGUGGGUGCAUAUGAAUUUCAAAUUGUUAACCUUUUAGUUACUAACCCAUUUUGUUUACAUGUUCAUAGGUGUUUGGGUAUGAUCGUGGGGGCUUCGUCCGGGGUAUGGUAGGUGGUGUCUUGAAGACUGAAUUGCUUGCUUUUGUAUUUCCCGUGACUGAGUAAUUGUCACUUAAAAGUUGCAGGUUGUUAAUGUUUUAUGUGUAAGUGUUUGUCGUUGCAGGAACACCCAGCAUCUCUGAUUCCACUUCAGAAUUGCAUCCACGCUUUGGGCUAUUUGCAGCAUGCAAUUAGCCAAUUACAGAUUCUCCAAUAAACUUGAAUAAUGUUAUUUGAAGACCAAAAAGUUCAGCUAUAGUUCAACAGCAGAAUCAUGGGUCCUACAACUUUCUUAUUGCUUAAAAAGUUUCUUUUUGAUUUGGUGCUUGUGGCAGGUCCUUCGUGGUGUGGAUGGCGCUGGAUUUUGUAAAGAGGCUUUUGAACAAGGACCAGAGGAAAAGAAUGACUGUUGCGCAGGCUUUGAGGAAACUUUUUUGACAAACUGGAAGCAUCAUAUAGCUUAAACGCCUUGACAGUAUUCUCCUUCGAGUUCGUAUCAUGUUUCUUUCUGUCGAUUCAGAAACACCAAAAGUCAAAUAACAACAUCUUUUACAGAUAAGAUGAGCUGAGACGCAUUAGAGAAGAGAUUAUUGUUGCUUGGGGUGAUAAGGAUGAGCUGAGACGCAUCAGAUGUUGUUGCUAUAAACCAAUAGUUAAUUGACAAGCCUUACGCUUGCUGCUUAUGAAGUGACCAAGGUCCAAGACUGAACGAGGAAGUACUUAAUGUUCACUGGUGUAUGUCAUCUAUUUUUUUUUUUUUGUUACUUGUCAUUCUUUUUCAGAGGUAUACUGAAUAACUCUUUAGUGUAAGAUUUCACGAAUUUCCGAAGUUCAAUUAUAGUUUUUAGAAUUAAUG
Papaver somniferum (opium poppy) is the source of this 1603-nucleotide long non-coding RNA. RefSeq lists it as uncharacterized. Lineage: Eukaryota; Viridiplantae; Streptophyta; Magnoliopsida; Ranunculales; Papaveraceae. The transcript is spliced from 7 exons. The record is from RefSeq and is a predicted model, not a curated record.